This 301-nucleotide ribosomal RNA is filed under the name uncultured bacterium. RNAcentral describes it as "partial 16S ribosomal RNA". It matches the Rfam family "Bacterial small subunit ribosomal RNA", at positions 509 to 807 of the family's 1533-position model. The record is from RNAcentral.
CAGCCGCCGCGGGAAUACGUAGGGUGCGGGCGUUAAUCGGAAUUACUGGGCGUAAAGCGUGCGCAGGCGGUUAUAUAAGACAGAUGUGAAAUCCCCGGGCUCAACCUGGGACCUGCAUUUGUGACUGUAUAGCUAGAGUACGGUAGAGGGGGAUGGAAUUCCGCGUGUAGCAGUGAAAUGCGUAGAUAUGCGGAGGAACACCGAUGGCGAAGGCAAUCCCCUGGACCUGUACUGACGCCCAUGCACGAAAGCGUGGGGAGCAAACAGGAUUAGAUACCCCGGUAGUCCCUGUCUCUUAUAC